Molecule: non-coding RNA, 148 nt
Filed under: Bacillus amyloliquefaciens
Lineage: Bacteria; Bacillati; Bacillota; Bacilli; Caryophanales; Bacillaceae
Description: FMN riboswitch aptamer (RFN element)
Rfam family: FMN riboswitch aptamer (RFN element)
About the family: The RFN element is a highly conserved domain that is found frequently in the 5'-untranslated regions of prokaryotic mRNAs that encode for flavin mononucleotide (FMN) biosynthesis and transport proteins.
Source: Rfam by way of RNAcentral
UGUAUCCUUCGGGGCUGGGUGAAAAUCCCGACCGGCGGUAAUAAGGCGCUCCUGCGCUUUACAGCCCGUGACCCGUAUGCAUCUGUAUACGGUGGAUUCAGUGAAAAGCUGAAGCCGACAGUGAAAGUCUGGAUGGGAGAAGGAUGAG